UACAGAGGUCUCAAGCGUUGUUCGGAUUCAUUGGGCGUAAAGGGUGCGUAGGCGGCCCUGUAAGUCAGUGGUGAAAUACUCUAGCUUAACUAGAGGGGUGCCAAUGAUACUGCAGGGCUUGAGUACAGAUGAGGUAGGCGGAAUUGACGGUGUAGCGGUGAAAUGCAUAGAUAUCGUCAAGAACACCUAUAGCGAAGGCAGCUUACUGGGCUGUAACUGACGCUGAGGCACGAAAGUGUGGGGAUCAAACAGG
This 253-nucleotide ribosomal RNA is filed under the name uncultured bacterium. RNAcentral's name for it is "partial 16S ribosomal RNA". It matches the Rfam family "Bacterial small subunit ribosomal RNA", at positions 524 to 776 of the family's 1533-position model. The record is from RNAcentral.